Molecule: small RNA, 102 nt
Filed under: Salmonella enterica
Lineage: Bacteria; Pseudomonadati; Pseudomonadota; Gammaproteobacteria; Enterobacterales; Enterobacteriaceae
Also listed under: 5 other names
Description: partial RtT sRNA
Rfam family: RtT RNA
About the family: This family represents a bacterial cis-regulatory element known as RtT RNA. The exact function of RtT is unknown although it is thought that it may be involved in changing the cellular response in relation to amino acid starvation.
Source: RNAcentral
CGGGGGCAGGAGGUUCGACUCGAGCGAAGCGAGAGAACGUUGCGUCAGCAACGGCCCGCAGGGCGAGUCACGCAGUGGCGAGUCAUCCUCUAUCACCGACCA